UCAAAAUAAAUCAAAUUUAGGUAUAAUGAUGGAUAAAUAUUAUACACAAUCCAAUUAGACCCACUUGGAGCCUACAUGUUGGAUCUAAAGAGCGCAAUUUUAUACUAGCAGCCAUAAGAUUAAUAGAACAUAGACUCAUAUAAUUCUUGUUUGAUAACUCAAGUUUAUGUUGGCUAUAUAUUUAGCUAUAGGAUGCACUAGAUUUGUGAAAACCACAAAAUAUUGAACAAAAGUUUUAUAGGUGCAUUUCUAUAUCACAAGAGAUCGAGCUAAUGCUAUGCUAUACAAUUGAAUUAUCCAAAGAGAAUUAGACUAUGCUCUAAAAGAAGCAGUACCAAAGUAAACUAUUAGUAUGGGUGGGA
Molecule: long non-coding RNA, 362 nt
Filed under: Elaeis guineensis (African oil palm)
Lineage: Eukaryota; Viridiplantae; Streptophyta; Magnoliopsida; Arecales; Arecaceae
Description: long non-coding RNA (EGUI_LNC031408)
Source: RNAcentral